CACACAGUGAGACACACACGUAUCCUCUGUACAGUCUCAGUGUUCAGCUUCAUCAUGGCCGGACGUCUGCUGUUUGUCUUCUUCAUGUAUGUCUUUAAUGGGAUUCAAACAGAAGCUCGUCUUCCACCUAAACUUACAGUGAAUUCAGCGGUGAUCAAAGAGACAGACUCAGUCACACUGAACUGUCAGACUCCAUCAUCUGUGUCU
Non-coding RNA from Labrus bergylta (ballan wrasse), 207 nucleotides. Lineage: Eukaryota; Metazoa; Chordata; Actinopteri; Labriformes; Labridae. The record is from RefSeq and is a predicted model, not a curated record.